This 397-nucleotide ribosomal RNA is filed under the name uncultured bacterium. RNAcentral describes it as "partial 16S ribosomal RNA". It matches the Rfam family "Bacterial small subunit ribosomal RNA", at positions 523 to 918 of the family's 1533-position model. The record is from RNAcentral.
AUACGAAGGGUGCAAGCGUUACUCGGAAUUACUGGGCGUAAAGCGUGCGUAGGUGGUUGUUUAAGUCUGUCGUGAAAGCCCUGGGCUCAACCUGGGAAUGGCGACGGAAACUGGGCGACUAGAGUGUGGCAGAGGGUAGUGGAAUUCCUGGUGUAGCAGUGAAAUGCGUAGAGAUCAGGAGGAACAUCCGUGGCGAAGGCGACUGCCUGGGCCAACACUGACACUGAGGCACGAAAGCGUGGGGAGCAAACAGGAUUAGAUACCCUGGUAGUCCACGCCCUAAACGAUGCGAACUGGAUGUUGGGUGCAAUUUGGCACGCAGUAUCGAAGCUAACGCGUUAAGUUCGCCGCCUGGGGAGUACGGUCGCAAGACUGAAACUCAAAUGAAUUGACGGGG